Non-coding RNA from Chelonia mydas (Green sea turtle), 74 nucleotides. The record is from Rfam. Lineage: Eukaryota; Metazoa; Chordata; Testudines; Cheloniidae.
ACAGGGAUAGCUCAGUAGUUUGAGCAUUGGUCUGCUAAACCCAGAGUUGUGAGUUCAAUCCUCCUCUCCCAGCC